Molecule: long non-coding RNA, 643 nt
Filed under: Cucumis sativus (cucumber)
Lineage: Eukaryota; Viridiplantae; Streptophyta; Magnoliopsida; Cucurbitales; Cucurbitaceae
Description: long non-coding RNA (CSAT_LNC002942)
Source: RNAcentral
CCCAUACUUCACAAUCUAAAACACAAAACUCAAUACAAAACCCAUAACAAAAAUUAAAGGAGAAGAAAAAGAAAAAGAAGAAGAAAAGCUAGUGAUUCGUAUUAUUAUCAGACUGUGUAUAACAGUAUGUGUUUUUUAAUAUUCUUUGUUUCCAGCUCCAGUGUACCAAAAUAUUAUCACAAACUCCACAAUCCUUCUCUUUCCAAUCCCUAAACUAAAAGAUAAUAGAUUUAAACAAUAAAUCAAGUUAUUCGAGGUACUUGGAUCCUCCCUUCUUGAGAUCACAAUCUCAAGCCCUAAAACCCAAAUAUUGCUUCUCUUCUCCAUUCCCCUAUCCCUCUAUUUAUAACCAAAUAUAACCCACUCCCUAACUAUUUAUGCCCUCAAUACCCAAAUAACCCCUAAUACCGAUCCUAUUCGUCUCAAGGUGGUUUCAAAAUGUAGACCAUUUUGGAGGGGGCGGUGACUGCAUUUUUACCAUCUUUAUUUAAUUUCAUCUAUGUAGAAUGCCAUAACUCACAGGUUGAUGACGGUGAAUGGGAGCUGUAUCCACAAGUAACUGCUCUAUGCAUUGGAAAUGCUAAAUACUUUGACGGUGGUAUGAAAAUUGUGCCAAAUGCCGAUCCUUCCAACAGGAGUCUAG